RNAcentral lists this ribosomal RNA (450 nucleotides) under uncultured bacterium. Its description in RNAcentral is "bacterial SSU rRNA". It matches the Rfam family "Bacterial small subunit ribosomal RNA", at positions 354 to 796 of the family's 1533-position model. The record is from RNAcentral.
GUGGGGAAUAUUGGACAAUGGGCGCAAGCCUGAUCCAGCCAUACCGCGUGGGUGAAGAAGGUCUUCGGAUUGUAAAGCACUUUAAGUUGGGAGGAAGGGCAGUAAGUUAAUACCUUGCUGUUUUGACGUUACCGACAGAAUAAGCACCGGCUAACUUCGUGCCAGCAGCCGCGGUAAUACGAAGGGUGCAAGCGUUAAUCGGAAUUACUGGGCGUAAAGCGCGCGUAGGUGGUUUUGUAAGUUGGAGGUGAAAUCCCCGGGCUCAACCUGGGAACUGCCUCCAAAACUGCAUGACUAGAGUACGGUAGAGGGUAGUGGAAUUUCCUGUGUAGCGGUGAAAUGCGUAGAUAUAGGAAGGAACACCAGUGGCGAAGGCGACUACCUGGACUGAUACUGACACUGAGGUGCGAAAGCGUGGGGAGCAAACAGGAUUAGAUACCCCUGUAGUCC